UUUCAAAAGUUCCCAGUUACUACAAAAUGUAUUAUUUGUGAGAGCUUUACUCCAAUAAAGUUUAAUGAAUCUCUGAACUUCACAAAUCACUUCUUUAUGCUCAAGAAUGGUACUAUUUAACUUCCAGUAAGAGGUUUUAGUGAUUAGGGAGGAUGACAACGGGAUCGAUAAGCUAACCAUUUUAUGGUCUGAGAGUGGUGUAGGAUAAAUAUCCGUUUUAACUUUUUCUAAAUCUUAUAAGAUAAGCCAAAAAUCGAUACGUGAGUGUCUGGUUUGAGUCUUAUUACACCAUGUAUAAGCUAUCUGAGACGAAUGAGAAUCCCUCCAAGAAUCGACUAAGUUGAAUCUUUGUGCAAACAGUCUUAAGAAUGAGUUAGAGUCUAAACUUCUAGAAGGCCAUCUGUCCAAAUAGCUGUUAAACACUGUAUUAAAGUCUCCACCAAAAAUAAUAAAAGAAUUGGGAUAUUUAGAUAACCAGCGCAGUAGGCGCUCCUCCAACCUAUCAAAAUAUAGUUUAUUCUCCCUCUGACAGUUAAAACCAUACACAUUGACUAAAAUAUAGAUAGAGUGUGCAGCCUCAACUAUUAGAAAAAUGUAAUGACCAUCUUUAUCUAUGUCAGAAUUCAAGAUUUUACCAUUAAAUCUUCCUUUAAGUAUGCAGACACCAGCAGCAUGCUCUGUACCAUGAGACAUCCACAGAUCAUCUCCCCAUUGCGAUCUCCGAAAUGUUUUUUCUUGUUCUGUUGAGUGAGACUCUUGUAUAAAACAGAAAUCUGAAUUGAACUGCUUGCAAAACAAAAAAAUAGCCUUACGUUUAACAUUGUUUCUUAAACCUCUUGCAUUUAAAGAAAUAACAGACAGAGACAUAAUGAUAGUAACAAAAAUUAAAAGUGACAAAUAAGAAAAAGCUUAAACCAAGUAAAUGAAGAACAGUUGAACCUGGUCACUUAAGAGAGUCCUAUAUAAGAUGAGAACUGCAACCCCUGAGUAAGGAAAUUGUGAACUUGAAUAAUAAUAGGAAUACAAUAGCCUAAAACAAUAAAACCAAUGUGGUAAAAAUAAAUAAAUAAAAUAAAUAAACGCUUCACAUAUGAGCAUUGAAAGGGAGCUUAAUAGAAAUUUUCUUGCUCCAUUUAAAUAACUAAUUAUUCAAAAAAAGAAUAAAAAUAAAAAAAAAAUAAAAAGAAGCUUAUCCAGCUUGCUCAUAACAUUUUCAGUAAAAAAUAUUGCAGCCAAACUGAAGACCAAUAAACUUAUAACAAAUAAACUGCAUCAGUUUAACUCUGAUCGUUUUAUGAGUCCAACAACAAAAACAAACAAACAAAAAAAGAACGGCAGUGAAACCAAGUUAAUCUUAAGAUACUUCAGUUUUCACCUCAAAAUACCUUGGAUCAAAUUAUAGGGCUGGAAAAAUCUCUUUUCCCUCCACGAACGCACGACCUCCUACGAAGAACGCCAGCUUGUUUUCGUUGCGCGCAGCUUCCACAGACGGCCAGAGUCUGUUUCUUCGGGCGCGGUCGUCAGGGGACAGAUCCUCAGCCAGCUUUAGGUUGUUACCUUUCAGGUAGGUGGACUUCUUAGCAGCGCGCCAGACAGCAUCGCGGUAGAUCCUGGAUGUAAACUGAAUGAUGAUUCCCCUGGGUUGGUUGUUGUUGGACCUCUUGGGACCGAUGCGGUGGACGGUGUCAACGACGUCGGGGAAUUUAUCUUGCAUCUCCGGUAUGACUGAUCUACAGACUUUGAUUACCUCCUGCCGCACGUCCUGC
This is a long non-coding RNA of Astatotilapia calliptera (eastern happy), 1766 nucleotides long. The record is from Ensembl. Lineage: Eukaryota; Metazoa; Chordata; Actinopteri; Cichliformes; Cichlidae.